RNAcentral lists this ribosomal RNA (429 nucleotides) under uncultured bacterium. RNAcentral describes it as "bacterial SSU rRNA". It matches the Rfam family "Bacterial small subunit ribosomal RNA", at positions 355 to 776 of the family's 1533-position model. The record is from RNAcentral.
UGGGGAAUAUUGCGCAAUGGGCGAAAGCCUGACGCAGCCAUGCCGCGUGUGUGAAGAAGGCCCUAGGGUUGUAAAGCACUUUCACUUGGGAGGAAAGGUUCGUAGUUAAUAGCUGCGAGCUGUGACGUUACCUUGAGAAGAAGCACCGGCUAACUCCGUGCCAGCAGCCGCGGUAAUACGGAGGGUGCGAGCGUUAAUCGGAAUUACUGGGCGUAAAGCGCGCGUAGGCGGUUUGUUAAGUCGGAUGUGAAAGCCCCGGGCUCAACCUGGGAAUUGCACCCGAUACUGGCCGACUGGAGUGCGAGAGAGGGAGGUAGAAUUCCACGUGUAGCGGUGAAAUGCGUAGAUAUGUGGAGGAAUACCGGUGGCGAAGGCGGCCUCCUGGCUCGACACUGACGCUGAGGUGCGAAAGCGUGGGGAGCAAACAGG